GAUGAACGCUAGCGGGAGGCCUAACACAUGCAAGCCGAGCGGGAUUUGUUGGUUAGCUUGCUAACUAACAAUGAGAGCGGCGUACGGGUGCGUAGCACGUGUGCAACCUGCCUUUAUCUGGGGGAUAGCCUUUCGAAAGGAAGAUUAAUACCCCAUAACAUAUUGAUUGGCAUCAGUUAAUAUUGAAAGCUCCGGCGGAUAGAGAUGGGCACGCGUAAGAUUAGCUAGUUGGUGAGGUAACGGCUCACCAAGGCUGCGAUCUUUAGGGGGCCUGAGAGGGUGAUCCCCCACACUGGUACUGAGACACGGACCAGACUCCUACGGGAGGCAGCAGUGAGGAAUAUUGGACAAUGGGUGAGAGCCUGAUCCAGCCAUCCCGCGUGAAGGACUCAGGACCUAUGGUUUGUAAACUUCUUUUAUACAGGGAUAAACCUACUCUCGUGAGGGUAGCUGAAGGUACUGUAUGAAUAAGCACCGGCUAACUCCGUG
Molecule: ribosomal RNA, 489 nt
Filed under: uncultured bacterium
Lineage: Bacteria
Description: partial 16S ribosomal RNA
Rfam family: Bacterial small subunit ribosomal RNA
Source: RNAcentral